This 350-nucleotide ribosomal RNA is filed under the name uncultured bacterium. RNAcentral's name for it is "bacterial SSU rRNA". It matches the Rfam family "Bacterial small subunit ribosomal RNA", at positions 389 to 737 of the family's 1533-position model. The record is from RNAcentral.
CAGCCAUGCCGCGUGCAGGAAGACGGCCUUCUGGGUUGUAAACUGCUUUUGGCCGGGAACAAAAAGCCCCUGCGGGGGAAAUUGAGUGUACCGGCAGAAUAAGCACCGGCUAACUCCGUGCCAGCAGCCGCGGUAAUACGGAGGGUGCAAGCGUUGUCCGGAUUUAUUGGGUUUAAAGGGUGCGUAGGCGGGCCAAUAAGUCAGUGGUGAAAGCCCACAGCUCAACUGUGGAACCGCCAUUGAUACUGUUGGCCUUGAGUACCGUUGGGGCAGGCGGAAUUUAUGGUGUAGCGGUGAAAUGCAUAGAUACCAUAAAGAACACCGAUAGCGUAGGCAGCUUGCUAAACGGU